Molecule: unclassified non-coding RNA, 289 nt
Organism: Aotus nancymaae (Ma's night monkey)
Lineage: Eukaryota; Metazoa; Chordata; Mammalia; Primates; Aotidae
Rfam family: Metazoan signal recognition particle RNA
About the family: The signal recognition particle (SRP) is a universally conserved ribonucleoprotein. It is involved in the co-translational targeting of proteins to membranes.
Source: Ensembl
GUCAGGCAUGGUGGUGCUCAGCUGUAGUCCCAGCUACUAAGGAGGCUGAGGCAGGAGGAUCAUUUGAGCCUAGGAGUUUAGGCUGUAGUAUGCUAUGCCUAUUGGGUGUCUGCACUAAGUUCACCAUCAAUAUGGUGACCUCCCAGGAGCAGGUGACCACCAAGUUGCCUAAGAGUGGUGAACACAGAUUGGAAACAGAGCAGGUCAAAACUCCUGUGCUGAUCAAGGGUGGGAUCAUGCCUGUGAAUAGCCACCACACUCUAGCCUAGGCAGCAUAGUGAGACCCUGG